This 233-nucleotide ribosomal RNA is filed under the name uncultured bacterium. Its description in RNAcentral is "partial 16S ribosomal RNA". It matches the Rfam family "Bacterial small subunit ribosomal RNA", at positions 15 to 229 of the family's 1533-position model. The record is from RNAcentral.
GAUCAUGGCUCAGGAUGAACGCUAGCUACAGGCUUAACACAUGCAAGUCGAGGGGCAGCAUGGUCUUAGCUUGCUAAGGCUGAUGGCGACCGGCGCACGGGUGAGUAACACGUAUCCAACCUGCCGUCUACUCUUGGCCAGCCUUCUGAAAGGAAGAUUAAUCCAGGAUGGGAUCAUGAGUUCACAUGUUCCGCCAUGAUUAAAGGUAAGUUUUCCGUUUACGGUACGAUGGG